CGGUGAUGGAACUGGAUGGCUACUGGGGACUCUUCCAAGUCAGAUGCUGAGAUUCUAAGAUGGAGCCAUACCACUCAUCAAUUUUCAAACCAAGUACUGAAAACUUUCCCAAAUACCAAGAUAUAACAGAAGAAGCCAAAGUCAUGUGGGAACAAGAUGAACUGGACAUCAGCCCUUUCAAACUCUCUGCUAACUGUCCCAAGGACACUUUUGGGAAAGAAGCAGCUCCGGAGAAGGAAAGGACUUAUUCAAGAGUCCAAUGCCAAAGCUGA
This 272-nucleotide long non-coding RNA is filed under the name Monodelphis domestica (gray short-tailed opossum). Its description in RNAcentral is "lncRNA (ENSMODG00000032886.2)". The record is from RNAcentral. Lineage: Eukaryota; Metazoa; Chordata; Mammalia; Didelphimorphia; Didelphidae.